UCUUCUUCUUGAUAUAGUUUUCUUGUUUAUUUUUUUUUUCUCAGGUUUAGUUACCUUUUGCAUCAUGAUUUGUUGAUUAUCUUCCAUUAUUAUGGAUGAAUCCGAAGGGUGACGAUUUUUAGGGUGCUUGCUUGAUUAAGAGCUUAGCGUUUCACAGGUAGUGGAUUGUUAGAGUGCUUUAAGGUAGUGAUAAAUUAUUCGUGUUUCCUUAUAUCUGAUUGGGUAAUUUAUAUUUCGUGUUAUACUGGCUGUUAUGAGAUUGUUAGUAUGAGAAGAGACUUUUUAUGUUUAUUUAUAUUCUGGGUUUAAAGGUUUCCUUGAUUUAUGAGUUUGUUAAAAAAAUUGUUUUAAGUUUUAUUGUCUUUUAGUUUGUGUUUCCCUACUUUAAUUUUUUUUUAUAAUGAUGGAAUAAGUAAAAUUUAUAUUGGCCUCUUUUUUUCUCGAUAGGUGUCGGUCUGUUUAUUAAAAACAUUUCCAUUUUUAAGUUUAGAUGGUAGUUACCUGCUCUAUGUAUAUUUUAUUAAUGGCCGCAGUAUUUUGACUGUGCUAAGGUAGCAUAAUUAGUUGCCUCAUAAUUGGAGGAUUGUUUGAAUGGUUUGACUAGAUAUUUGUUAAGAUGGGGGUUUAAAUAGAAAUUGGUUGUGAGGUGCAGAACCCUCGAUUAUAAAAUAAGACGGAAAGACCCCGAGAUCUUUAUACUUUGGUGUUUAUUUGGGGUAAAGGUAAAUUAUUUAUUUGCUUUAUGAUCCUUAAAGUGUUAGGAUUGAAGGUUUAGUUACCUCGGGGAUAACUGUGUAAGAAAUAGUUAGAGAUCUUAUCGAUUUAUUUAUUUGCCACCUCGAUGUUGACUUAGGGGGUUUCGCAGGCGCAGUAGUUUGUGUAAAAGGUCUGUUCGACCUAUAAUUCUCUUCAUGAGUUGAGUUAAGACCGGCGUGAGCCAGGUCGGUUCUUAUCUAUUUUUCAGUUUAUUUAGUACGAAAGGAAUAAUAUUCUUUUAUGUUGGGCGUGUUCUAUAUUUAUAGGUUUACUCUGCAGAGGUAAU
RNAcentral lists this ribosomal RNA (1042 nucleotides) under Cardiocephaloides medioconiger. RNAcentral describes it as "large subunit ribosomal RNA". The stretch from base 668 to 958 matches the Rfam family "Archaeal large subunit ribosomal RNA", at positions 2151 to 2715 of the family's 2987-position model. The record is from RNAcentral. Lineage: Eukaryota; Metazoa; Platyhelminthes; Trematoda; Diplostomida; Strigeidae.